ACAUAGAACUUUAAAAAAAUUUGUAAAGGGCUAGAAAACCGUUUCUCCCGGUGUGUCACAAUUAGUAUCAAAAGAUAUUUUACCUUCUGAGUCAUGAAGAAAGGAAGAUUUUCUCUUUCAGAGCCAAAAUGUGCUAGGAUAAUGGAGAUGAGGGAAUUCUCUGAAUUGGAAAAAGAUUAUGGAUUGUUCAUUUUAUCUUUUUUUGCUGUCCUAUUGAUUGAUUAGAAUCUGAUUCUUGCCUAACAAGCAUUUGAACAUUAGGUUGUUGAUUUGUUCAUUCAUUAUUCUUGACUUCUCCAAUUGUCC
RNAcentral lists this long non-coding RNA (306 nucleotides) under Capsicum annuum. Its description in RNAcentral is "long non-coding RNA (CANN_LNC022164)". Lineage: Eukaryota; Viridiplantae; Streptophyta; Magnoliopsida; Solanales; Solanaceae. The record is from RNAcentral.